Molecule: ribosomal RNA, 495 nt
Filed under: uncultured bacterium
Lineage: Bacteria
Description: bacterial SSU rRNA
Rfam family: Bacterial small subunit ribosomal RNA
Source: RNAcentral
CGUGGCGGCGUGCCUAACACAUGCAAGUCGUACGAGAAAGUUGGCUUCGGCCGAUGAGUAAAGUGGCGCACGGGUGAGUAAUGCGUGGAUAAUCUGCCCUUUAGUUGGGAAUAACGUACCGAAAGGUGCGCUAAUACCUGAUAAUACUGCAUAACUACUGUUGUGUAGUCAAAGAAGGCCUCUGUUUACAAGCUUUGCUGAAGGAUGAGUCCGCGUACCAUUAGCUGGUUGGUGGGGUAAUGGCCUACCAAGGCUACGAUGGUUAGCUGGUCUGAGAGGAUGAUCAGCCACACUGGAACUGAGACACGGUCCAGACUCCUACGGGAGGCAGCAGUGAGGAAUAUUGCGCAAUGGGGGCAACCCUGACGCAGCAACGCCGCGUGAGUGAGGAAGGUUUUCGGACCGUAAAGCUCUGUCGAGCGGGAAGAAAUGUAUCAUGGCUAAUAUCCAUGAUACUUGACGGUACCGCUAAAGGAAGCACCGGCUAACUCCGUG